GCACUCUCCCUUCAGCAGCACAUAUACUAAAAUUGGAGCGAUACAGAGAAGAUUAGCAUGGCCCCUGCACAAGGAUGACACGCAAACCUGUGAAGCAGUCCAUAUUAAA
Molecule: small nuclear RNA, 109 nt
Filed under: Catagonus wagneri (Chacoan peccary)
Lineage: Eukaryota; Metazoa; Chordata; Mammalia; Artiodactyla; Tayassuidae
Source: RNAcentral